UAGCCUAGUGGUCAAGGCUAUGGAUCGCCAAUCCGGAGACGGCGGGUUCGAUACCCGU
Molecule: non-coding RNA, 58 nt
Organism: Aedes albopictus (Asian tiger mosquito)
Lineage: Eukaryota; Metazoa; Arthropoda; Insecta; Diptera; Culicidae
Source: Rfam